UUGUUUUUGUUUUUUGGCAUUUGUUUCCACCUUCUCAGAUUUACUCUACCAGGAAAAUGGGUGUAUUUUAAAUUCACAAAUAAUAUUUGAUUGUUUCUUCUGAAUCCCAUGAAAUGAUAGUUUGUGGAAAUAAUUUUUGUCCUGGGUCCUGUGUCAACCUUGCAUAUUUUAGUCAAAUUUUAUAUUAGAAAACAUUUAGCUCUUUGAUCAUUCUCUUUCUUGCAAAAUAAAAAGUAUAAGGUGAGACAAUCUUCUCUGAGAUUAUUAUCCUGGGAUCUUUGAUCUUGGUACCCCCAUCUUUAAGGAGAACAGCAUCUGUUUUUAAGACUCUAUAGCCUAGAACCAAGUUCACUGUAUUCCCCACCGUACUACUACAAUCUCAGAACUACCUGGAAUCAGUGUGGAACCAAGUUCAUUGUAUUCCCCACUCUUCUACACUCACAGGACCACUUGGAAUCUGUUGUUUGGGGUUGCCAUGGACACGGAGUUCUUAUUCCAGUACUAGCUUGUUACCAGCACCAGGAAAAGUUGUAUUCAAGUCCCAAGAUCUGAGUCCUUCUGUGCUCCACCUCCCUUCUGCUGUGGCCCCUUGAAAGCAGCCCUACCUGUAGAUUAAUUGUAGAUUGUGGUUGUCCACAAGACAAUACCAUGCAGAGAUUAAAGAGGAACCCUUUAUAUCUCUGGUUCAUGCAUCAAAGAAAUAAUAACAGAAUUAUGGAUUCCUCUGACAACAGUGAUGACCAUGGGUGAGUUGACUUGACUGAUCUGAGUGCUGAAAGGUAUUAGAGAGCAUUGGUGGCAAUAAGAGGUUUCCAUAAGAGACUGUAAGCUUCUGUAAAUAACUGUCUUUCUUUUGGGGUCUAAGUCGGGGGGAUAAAAGGAAGAACAUGUCAGAAGAGGGAGACUUCCUACUCAUAAUUUAUGACCCUUAGUAACCAGAAGCCAGAGUUUCUUAGGAUACUCUCAUAAUAUAUGUGUGUGAGACUCUGCUAGAGUAGAGCAGGUAAAGAGAGGAUCCUAUUA
Herpailurus yagouaroundi (jaguarundi) is the source of this 1023-nucleotide long non-coding RNA. RefSeq lists it as uncharacterized. The record is from RefSeq and is a predicted model, not a curated record. Lineage: Eukaryota; Metazoa; Chordata; Mammalia; Carnivora; Felidae. The transcript has 4 exons.